Molecule: transfer RNA, 75 nt
Filed under: Deltaproteobacteria bacterium
Lineage: Bacteria; Pseudomonadati; Myxococcota; Myxococcia
Description: tRNA-Gln
Rfam family: tRNA
About the family: Transfer RNA (tRNA) molecules are approximately 80 nucleotides in length. Their secondary structure includes four short double-helical elements and three loops (D, anti-codon, and T loops).
Source: RNAcentral
UGGGGUAUAGACAAGCGGUAAGUCAUUGGUUUUUGAUACCAACAUGCGGAGGUUCGAAUCCUCCUACCCCAACCA